Molecule: transfer RNA, 85 nt
Filed under: Felis catus (domestic cat)
Lineage: Eukaryota; Metazoa; Chordata; Mammalia; Carnivora; Felidae
Rfam family: tRNA
About the family: Transfer RNA (tRNA) molecules are approximately 80 nucleotides in length. Their secondary structure includes four short double-helical elements and three loops (D, anti-codon, and T loops).
Source: Rfam by way of RNAcentral
GCCUGGGUGGCUCAGUCGGUUAAGCAUCUGACUUCGGCUCAGAUCAUGAUCUCGCGGUCUGUGGGUUCAAGCCCCGCGUUGGGCU